Long non-coding RNA from Prosopis cineraria, 298 nucleotides. RefSeq lists it as uncharacterized. The transcript is spliced from 3 exons. The record is from RefSeq and is a predicted model, not a curated record. NCBI's taxonomy places the organism in Eukaryota, Viridiplantae, Streptophyta, Magnoliopsida, Fabales, Fabaceae.
GUGCGAAAUCCCCGUUCAAAAUCAUGACUGAAAGCAUUUCAAAUCCAUGGGCCUUCGACUGCAUCUGCAGUACAAGCUAGCGUCUUGUUGCCACUGAAGCUUCAACUCAAAUACCUCCGAGGGGAUGGAAGGAGAAUAUAGCCUGAAAGCUAUUUUAGUGGGAGUGCUGGGAUAGCAUAUAGAUUAAAUAAGCAGAGGAGAUGAUGGCACUGAAACCUUUGUAGCAGAGGCAGCCUUCCAAUCAGUAGCAUUAUUCCCCUGUCUACAGAUUUGUUCGGAAUGAGAAGAAAAUAAGGAA